This 512-nucleotide ribosomal RNA is filed under the name Candida albicans. RNAcentral's name for it is "eukaryotic LSU rRNA". The stretch from base 146 to 299 matches the Rfam family "5.8S ribosomal RNA". The record is from RNAcentral. Lineage: Eukaryota; Fungi; Ascomycota; Pichiomycetes; Serinales; Debaryomycetaceae.
GUGGCAUCUGAUUUGCUUAUUGCACCACAUGUGUUUUUCUUUGAAACAAACUUGCUUUGGCGGUGGGCCCAGCCUGCCGCCAGAGGUCUAAACUUACAACCAAUUUUUUAUCAACUUGUCACACCAGAUUAUUACUAAUAGUCAAAACUUUCAACAACGGAUCUCUUGGUUCUCGCAUCGAUGAAGAACGCAGCGAAAUGCGAUACGUAAUAUGAAUUGCAGAUAUUCGUGAAUCAUCGAAUCUUUGAACGCACAUUGCGCCCUCUGGUAUUCCGGAGGGCAUGCCUGUUUGAGCGUCGUUUCUCCCUCAAACCGCUGGGUUUGGUGUUGAGCAAUACGACUUGGGUUUGCUUGAAAGACGGUAGUGGUAAGGCGGGAUCGCUUUGACAAUGGCUUAGGUCUAACCAAAAACAUUGCUUGCGGCGGUAACGUCUACCACGUAUAUCUUCAAACUUUGACCUCAAAUCAGGUAGGACUACCCGCUGAACUUAAGCAUAUCAAAAGCGGAGGAA